This 497-nucleotide ribosomal RNA is filed under the name uncultured bacterium. RNAcentral's name for it is "partial 16S ribosomal RNA". It matches the Rfam family "Bacterial small subunit ribosomal RNA", at positions 28 to 507 of the family's 1533-position model. The record is from RNAcentral.
GAUGAACGCUGGCGGCGUGCCUAAUACAUGCCAGUCGAGCGAACAGACGAGGAGCUUGCUCCUUCGACGUUAGCGGCGGACGGGUGAGUAACACGUAGGUAACCUACCUAUAAGACUGGGAUAACUUCGGGAAACCGGAGCUAAUACCGGAUAAUAUUUCGAACCGCAUGGUUCGAUAGUGAAAGAUGGCUUUGCUAUCACUUAUAGAUGGACCUGCGCCGUAUUAGCUAGUUGGUAAGGUAACGGCUUACCAAGGCAACGAUACGUAGCCGACCUGAGAGGGUGAUCGGCCACACUGGAACUGAGACACGGUCCAGACGCCUACGGGAGGCAGCAGUAGGGAAUCUUCCGCAAUGGGCGAAAGCCUGACGGAGCAACGCCGCGUGAGUGAUGAAGGUCUUCGGAUCGUAAAACUCUGUUAUUAGGGAAGAACAAACGUGUAAGUAACUGUGCACGUCUUGACGGUACCUAAUCAGAAAGCCACGGCUAACUACGUG